RNAcentral lists this transfer RNA (87 nucleotides) under Chloroflexota bacterium. Its description in RNAcentral is "Chloroflexi bacterium tRNA-Ser". It matches the Rfam family "tRNA". From Rfam's summary of the family: Transfer RNA (tRNA) molecules are approximately 80 nucleotides in length. Their secondary structure includes four short double-helical elements and three loops (D, anti-codon, and T loops). Lineage: Bacteria; Bacillati; Chloroflexota. The record is from RNAcentral.
GGAGAGGUGCCAGAGUGGUUGAUUGGGGCCGCCUGCUAAGCGGUUGUACCUUCACGGGUACCGCAGGUUCGAAUCCUGUCCUCUCCG